Molecule: non-coding RNA, 73 nt
Organism: Stegodyphus mimosarum
Lineage: Eukaryota; Metazoa; Arthropoda; Arachnida; Araneae; Eresidae
Source: Rfam
GCCUUUGUGGUGUAGUGUUCAACACGCUCGACGCUUAUCCGAGAGGUCCGUAGUUCGAGUCCCGGCGAGGGCA